UACAGAGGAUGCAAGCGUUAUCCGGAAUGAUUGGGCGUAAAGCGUCUGUAGGUGGCUUUUUAAGUCCGCCGUCAAAUCCCAGGGCUCAACUCUGGACAGGCGGUGGAAACUACCAAGCUGGAGUACGGUAGGGGCAGAGGGAAUUUCCGGUGUAGCGGUGGAAUGCGUAGAGAUCGGGAAGAACAUCGGUGGCGAAGGCGGUCUGCUGGGCCGUUGCUGACGCUGAGGCGCGACAGCGUGGGGAGCAAACAGG
This 253-nucleotide ribosomal RNA is filed under the name uncultured bacterium. RNAcentral describes it as "partial 16S ribosomal RNA". It matches the Rfam family "Bacterial small subunit ribosomal RNA", at positions 524 to 776 of the family's 1533-position model. The record is from RNAcentral.